RNAcentral lists this long non-coding RNA (1166 nucleotides) under Equus asinus (donkey). RNAcentral's name for it is "lncRNA (ENSEASG00005029484.1)". The record is from RNAcentral. Lineage: Eukaryota; Metazoa; Chordata; Mammalia; Perissodactyla; Equidae.
CCGGCCCCGCCUAGGGCCCCGCCGCUCGCGCCUCGGCGGCUGGCCGGGACUUCGCUAGAAGCCGAUUGGCCGUCCGAGUCCAGCCCCCAGGUUCUGCAGAGAGUCGCGGAGGAGCUUGGUGGCUGGUGGCGCUCGCAGGGUUUGUCUCUCAGGGAACCAGGGACGCGCUCCUGCCGUCCUCCUGGGCCAGCGGACCAGCCCUCCGCACCCCCAAGGGAUCCAGAGCUGAAAAGCGCCUGGAAACUCCUCUCCCUGAUCCGUCGCGCGCCCUGCGCAUUCUAGGCACUACCCAGGGGUCUUUGCCGGGGACAGAGGGCCUCGGAGGAGAGACUCGUUUAACUCCAGAGACGUAGCCCCUCUACCCACCUACUGGUCGAAAAGCGCCUAAGUAAGGCCGGGGGAUGGGGAAGGCGGCAGCUGCACCAAGACCAGAAGGAAGGAGGGGGCUGAGGAACCGCGCCCAGGUGGUGGAAGGUGUCACCAAACAGCUCAGCUGAUGUACUGGAAGAAGCUGUCUUUUCCUUAUCUUCUGGCACUGCUUCAACGCUACUCUAGACUCUGGCUACAGAGAAUUCCUGUUUUCCCUCAGUACUCAGCUUUCUUUACAUUACUUUUUCCCUAAGUUGUUUUACUCAUCUUUGCGUUUGUUCAUUCUUUUGCCUCUGUCUGAAAUGCCCUGAAUCACUGUGCUAUUCUCCCAUAAAGAAAACCCAAGAUGGACAGUAGCUAAAACAGUAAAAACAGAUUUUAUUCAGGAGCUAUUGCAAUAGAGAAAAAUAGACCUCGGUAUAGAAUUGGGCUCAAUUCCCCUGUCGUAAUAGUUGCGAAUAAAAUUUUUACUGCUUUACUGUCCAACUCUGAUUUUCUUUAACAACCCCCAAAGUACACAUCAGUCUCCUACUCAUCUCUCAAAAUCAAGGUCAGAUACCACCUACACUUAUUUUUCUUCUGUGGCUCCUUCUCCCUGAUUGAACAGCUUUAGCAACUCAAGUUCAUUAGGACAGUGUCAGCUAUAACUUCUUUGGUUUCCGAGACACUGUACAUAAUCUGAUACCUAAGUCUCAUAUUGCCCAGGAAUGUACUGUACGUUUCCUGUAAGAGGUAAAUUGCCUAUUGCGGUCUUCCUCUCUAGAUUAUAAAUUCUCAAUCAGGACUUCUGGGCUUAG